Molecule: ribosomal RNA, 253 nt
Filed under: uncultured bacterium
Lineage: Bacteria
Description: partial 16S ribosomal RNA
Rfam family: Bacterial small subunit ribosomal RNA
Source: RNAcentral
UACGUAGGUGGCUAGCGUUGUCCGGAUUUACUGGGCGUAAAGGGCGCGCAGGCGGUCGUUCAAGUCGAGUGUGAAAGCCCCCGGCUCAACUGGGGAGGGUCACUCGAUACUGAUCGACUUGAAGGCGGGAGAGGGAAGCGGAAUUCCCGGUGUAGUGGUGAAAUGCGUAGAUAUCGGGAGGAACACCAGUGGCGAAGGCGGCUUUCUGGCCCGUUCUUGACGCUGAGGCGCGAAAGCUAGGGUAGCAAACGGG